CCUACGGGCGGCAGCAGUGGGGAAUAUUGCACAAUGGGGGAAACCCUGAUGCAGCAACGCCGCGUGAGUGAGGAAGUAUUUCGGUAUGUAAAGCUCUAUCAGCAGGGAAUAGAAAAGAAGGUACCUGAAAAAGAAGCCCCGGCUAACUACGUGCCAGCAGCCGCGGUAAUACGUAGGGGGCAAGCGUUAUCCGGAUUUACUGGGUGUAACGGGAGCGUAGACGGUAUGGCAAGUCUGAAGUGAAAGCCCAGGGCUUAACCCUGGGACUGCUUUGGAAACUGUUAGACUAGAGUGCUGGAGAGGUAAGUGGAAUUCCUAGUGUAGCGGUGAAAUGCGUAGAUAUUAGGAGGAACACCAGUGGCGAAGGCGGCUUACUGGACAGUAACUGACGUUGAGGCUCGAAAGCGUGGGGAGCAAACAGGAUUAGAUACCCCAGUAGUC
Molecule: ribosomal RNA, 441 nt
Filed under: uncultured bacterium
Lineage: Bacteria
Description: partial 16S ribosomal RNA
Rfam family: Bacterial small subunit ribosomal RNA
Source: RNAcentral